AACGAACGCUGGCGGCAUGCCUAACACAUGCAAGUCGAACGAGACCUUCGGGUCUAGUGGCGCACGGGUGCGUAACGCGUGGGAACCUGCCCUUAGGUUCGGAAUAACUCCCCGAAAGGGGUGCUAAUACCGGAUAAUGUCUUCGGACCAAAGAUUUAUCGCCUUUGGAUGGGCCCGCGUUGGAUUAGCUAGUUGGUAGGGUAAAAGCCUACCAAGGCGACGAUCCAUAGCUGGUCUGAGAGGAUGAUCAGCCACACUGGGACUGAGACACGGCCCAGACUCCUACGAGAGGCAGCAGUGGGGAAUAUUGGACAAUGGGCGAAAGCCUGAUCCAGCAAUGCCGCGUGAGUGAUGAAGGCCUUAGGGUUGUAAAGCUCUUUUACACGGGAUGAUAAUGACAGUACCGGGAGAAUAAGCUCCGGCUAACUCCGUG
This 433-nucleotide ribosomal RNA is filed under the name uncultured bacterium. RNAcentral's name for it is "partial 16S ribosomal RNA". It matches the Rfam family "Bacterial small subunit ribosomal RNA", at positions 29 to 507 of the family's 1533-position model. The record is from RNAcentral.